UCUAUCACAAAGGAGUGCUUCGGCUGAGAUCGCAUCUGCGAAAUCCUCGAACCUGAUCUAGUUAACACUAGCGUAGGGAUUGUGUUUGAAACAUAC
RNAcentral lists this non-coding RNA (96 nucleotides) under Streptococcus cuniculi. Its description in RNAcentral is "TPP sequence". It matches the Rfam family "TPP riboswitch aptamer (THI element)". Rfam says of the family: Vitamin B(1) in its active form thiamin pyrophosphate (TPP) is an essential coenzyme that is synthesised by coupling of pyrimidine and thiazole moieties in bacteria. The previously detected thiamin-regulatory element, thi box was extended, resulting in a new, highly conserved RNA secondary structure, the THI element, which is widely distributed in eubacteria and also occurs in some archaea. Analysis of operon structures identified a large number of new candidate thiamin-regulated genes, mostly transporters, in various prokaryotic organisms. The record is from RNAcentral. Lineage: Bacteria; Bacillati; Bacillota; Bacilli; Lactobacillales; Streptococcaceae.